Molecule: ribosomal RNA, 254 nt
Filed under: uncultured bacterium
Lineage: Bacteria
Description: partial 16S ribosomal RNA
Rfam family: Bacterial small subunit ribosomal RNA
Source: RNAcentral
CAGAGGGUGCAAGCGUUAAUCGGAAUUACUGGGCGUAAAGCGAGCGUAGGUGGCUUAAUAAGUCAGAUGUGAAAUCCCCGGGCUCAACCUGGGAACUGCAUCUGAAACUGUUAGGCUAGAGUAGGUGAGAGGGAGGUAGAAUUUCAGGUGUAGCGGUGAAAUGCGUAGAGAUCUGAAGGAAUACCGAUGGCGAAGGCAGCCUCCUGGCAUCAUACUGACACUGAGGCUCGAAAGCGUGGGUAGCAAACAGGAUU